AGCUCUAAUAGCGUAUAUUAAAAUUGUUGCAGUUAAAACGCUCGUAGUUGAAUAUCUGUCUCCUAAUUGCUCGGUCCGCAAUGCGAGUACCAAGCAUUAGAGGCAUCCGUUUGCACAUUUGAUUUCAUCGGAUUUGCAAACCGUUCACUUUGAGGAAAUUAGAGUGUUCAAAGCAGGCGUUAGCCUUGAAUACUUCAGCAUGGAAUGAUCGAUAGGACUUCCGUCCUAUCCGUUGGUUCUAGGGGCGCGAAGUAAUGAUAAAUAGGGUCGGUCGGGGGCAUUCGUAUUGAACAGUCAGAGGUGAAAUUCUUAGAUUUGUUCAAGACGAACAACUGCGAAAGCAUUUGCCAAGGACGACCCCA
RNAcentral lists this ribosomal RNA (362 nucleotides) under uncultured eukaryote. Its description in RNAcentral is "SSU rRNA". It matches the Rfam family "Eukaryotic small subunit ribosomal RNA", at positions 587 to 972 of the family's 1831-position model. The record is from RNAcentral.